This 324-nucleotide unclassified non-coding RNA is filed under the name fungal sp. RNAcentral's name for it is "partial internal transcribed spacer region". The stretch from base 1 to 46 matches the Rfam family "Eukaryotic small subunit ribosomal RNA", at positions 1786 to 1831 of the family's 1831-position model. Lineage: Eukaryota; Fungi. The record is from RNAcentral.
AAGUCGUAACAAGGUUUCCGUAGGUGAACCUGCGGAAGGAUCAUUAAGAAAAAUCUUUCUUAUAUUUUGCCUUCUCUCUCUUCCUCGCGAAGGGGGUAGGCAAAUAUAUAUCCACCUUUUGUGCACUUGACCAACUGUUCACCUUUGGCAAAAAACUUGAUGGGCUUUCGUUUGAUUGAUCGUCUUUUUGCCAAAGGAUUCUAUAUUAUUAUAAACACCCUAGAAAUACUUUAGCCUGAAAAUUAUUAGAGGAAAUGGUAUUCACGUACCACUUCUGAUUUCUGAAUAAAAAAACAACUUUUAACAACGGAUCUCUUGGCUCUU